This 460-nucleotide ribosomal RNA is filed under the name uncultured bacterium. Its description in RNAcentral is "partial 16S ribosomal RNA". It matches the Rfam family "Bacterial small subunit ribosomal RNA", at positions 338 to 795 of the family's 1533-position model. The record is from RNAcentral.
CCUACGGGUGGCAGCAGUGAGGAAUAUUGGUCAAUGGACGAGAGUCUGAACCAGCCAAGUAGCGUGAAGGAUGACUGCCCUAUGGGUUGUAAACUUCUUUUAUAUGGGAAUAAAACGUUCCACGUGUGGGAUUUUGUAUGUACCAUAUGAAUAAGGAUCGGCUAACUCCGUGCCAGCAGCCGCGGUAAUACGGAGGAUCCGAGCGUUAUCCGGAUUUAUUGGGUUUAAAGGGAGCGUAGGUGGGUUGUUAAGUCAGUUGUGAAAGUUUGCGGCUCAACCGUAAAAUUGCAGUUGAUACUGGCAGUCUUGAGUACAGUAGAGGUGGGCGGAAUUCGUGGUGUAGCGGUGAAAUGCUUAGAUAUCACGAAGAACUCCGAUUGCGAAGGCAGUUCACUGGACUGCAACUGACACUGAUGCUCGAAAGUGUGGGUAUCAAACAGGAUUAGAUACCCUAGUAGUC